Molecule: long non-coding RNA, 487 nt
Filed under: Brachypodium distachyon (stiff brome)
Lineage: Eukaryota; Viridiplantae; Streptophyta; Magnoliopsida; Poales; Poaceae
Description: long non-coding RNA (BDIS_LNC000828)
Source: RNAcentral
AUGUCAUACAAACCACACCUUAACUUAGUAAUUUGUGAUCAAAGCCUUGUCUUAACGAAAAGUAAUAUGACAUCUUUCAAGGAACAGAGGAAGUAUAUGAGUAGAAAUGGUGUGAUUGGUUUUUAACAAAAUGAGUAUUUCUGUUUCCAUGCAGUUUUUUUUUUUGCGCACACUAACUCCGUACUUAGGCGUUGUUAGUGUCAUGUGUCUUUAGUUUGGGUGCGUAAGGUUUCAUUUGGCAUUGCGGUGGAUUAUCAUAAUUCCUUUUUUUCAUUCGCUUUUCACUAUUUUCGUGUUUGGCUAACCAAAAUUUUCCUAUUUUCUUGUGUGUUUUUCAUAGCAGAUUACUCCCUCCAUUUCACAAAAGUUGACGUAUUUUGUUUCGUUAAGACAAGGCUUUGAUCGAUGAAAAUUCUAUUGAUAUGUGUUUUUUCAUACAUGAAAUUUAUAUUGAUGUAUUCGUCUUUAAAAGUUCUUAUUAAUGAUC